AGUAAAUUGGUUAAGUUAGAAAGGGCGCACGGUGGAUGCCUUGGCACUAGGAGCCGAAGAAGGACGGGACUAACACCGAUAUGCUUUGGGGAGCUGUACGUAAGCGUUGAUCCAGAGAUUUCCGAAUGGGGGAACCCACUAUCUUUAGUCGGAUAGUAUCCUUACGUGAAUACAUAGCGUGAGGAAGGCAGACCCAGGGAACUGAAACAUCUAAGUACCUGGAGGAAGAGAAAGAAAAAUCGAUUUCCUGAGUAGCGGCGAGCGAAACGGAAAGAGCCCAAACCAAGAAGCUUGCUUCUUGGGGUUGUAGGACACUCUAUACGGAGUUACAAAAGAAAGUUAUAAAUGAAGCGGUCUGGAAAGGCCCGCCAAAGACGGUAACAGCCCGGUAGUUGAAAUAGCUUUCCCUCCAGAGUGGAUCCUGAGUACGGCGGAACACGUGAAAUUCCGUCGGAAUCCGGGAGGACCAUCUCCCAAGGCUAAAUACUCCCUAGUGACCGAUAGUGAACCAGUACCGUGAGGGAAAGGU
RNAcentral lists this ribosomal RNA (529 nucleotides) under Listeria welshimeri. RNAcentral describes it as "partial 23S ribosomal RNA". It matches the Rfam family "Bacterial large subunit ribosomal RNA", at positions 1 to 515 of the family's 2925-position model. The record is from RNAcentral. Lineage: Bacteria; Bacillati; Bacillota; Bacilli; Caryophanales; Listeriaceae.